RNAcentral lists this long non-coding RNA (676 nucleotides) under Pan troglodytes (chimpanzee). Its description in RNAcentral is "long non-coding RNA NONPTRT010351". The record is from RNAcentral. Lineage: Eukaryota; Metazoa; Chordata; Mammalia; Primates; Hominidae.
UGACAGUGACAGGGACUGGGAACCUGGGAGCUUCUCAGCAUCUCCUUCUCACACUCUGCCUCUGAGCAGCUGGGAAUCCUUACCCCUCCAAUCUCCUGACUGCUCAUCUCCCUGGAGCCAGGACCCUGAAUCAGUAUUCACGGCCUGUUAGUGGCUUGCAAGGCAGAGCAGACAGAUGGACGUGCUCGGGAAGCCUAUUGAUCAGCCCUUGGUGUGACCUGCCCAGACCUGGUUCUGUUUCAAGCACUGAUCACGUGGACAAGGAGUCCUUAAUUCCUCUCAGCACCGUUUGAGAUGAGCAACUACACAAGACAAAGACGAAAGGCUUUUUCAGCUCAAAAAUCCUGUGAUUCUUUGAUUCUAAGAAGAGAUUUUCUUACAAGGAGUUUGCCUAAGUGUCCACACGGCUUGUGUCUCCUCCCAGCAGCCGGCCUGCUGGUGUGUGUGCUGUGUGUGGAGCGUGGCCUUAGGCCUGUGUUGUGAGUGAUGUCUGCAGAGCAUGGGGUUGAUUUGGAAGAAGGUGUGAUCCGAAGUUGUGUUUGACCUGAGCUCCUGUCACCCCUGAAGGCAGCAGAGGAUCUCCUGUCAGUGACCCAGGAGGACAGCUUUCUGAAGGACAUUCUGCCCAUUACACAGAGGGGCUUUCGUGAUUGGUUUGCCCAGAUAUGACUUUUUU